RNAcentral lists this small RNA (132 nucleotides) under Smithella sp. SCADC. RNAcentral describes it as "c-di-AMP riboswitch aptamer (ydaO/yuaA leader)". It matches the Rfam family "c-di-AMP riboswitch aptamer (ydaO/yuaA leader)". Rfam says of the family: This family represents a conserved RNA structure found upstream of the ydaO and yuaA genes in Bacillus subtilis and related genes in other bacteria. The ydaO/yuaA element is thought to act as a genetic "off" switch for the ydaO and yuaA genes in its native state. RNAcentral also lists the same sequence under 1 other name. Lineage: Bacteria; Pseudomonadati; Thermodesulfobacteriota; Syntrophia; Syntrophales; Smithellaceae. The record is from Rfam by way of RNAcentral.
CAUAAUCCAAUGCCUAAUCCUGACUUACAGGAGCGGAGGAACCAUUUUUUUCGGGGCGCAUCGCUACGGCGUAGGGUAAUCUCUUCGACCCGAGCCCUUCAGCUAACUUCGCAGGCUUCGAUGAGGAGAACC